Molecule: transfer RNA, 66 nt
Filed under: Isonychia ignota
Lineage: Eukaryota; Metazoa; Arthropoda; Insecta; Ephemeroptera; Isonychiidae
Description: tRNA-Met
Source: RNAcentral
AGAAAGAUAAGCUAAGUUUAAGCUCAUGGGUUCAUACCCCAUUUAUGGAGACUACUCCUCUUUCUA